RNAcentral lists this long non-coding RNA (492 nucleotides) under Vombatus ursinus (common wombat). RNAcentral's name for it is "lncRNA (ENSVURG00010022998.1)". Lineage: Eukaryota; Metazoa; Chordata; Mammalia; Diprotodontia; Vombatidae. The record is from RNAcentral.
GUACAAUGGGCUGCCUAUGACUCAUACCUGAAAUCAAUUAGAAUUAAUACUGCUAUGUCCCUUCCUUCUUCCUCACAAAGACAAGUCCACUGAUAAGGGCAAGUGUAAAAUGGUGUUGAAGCCAUAGUAAGAGCAUCAAGAACAGUAUUCUAUCUGUUCAGUGGUGUUUGAGGUGUUAAGUAAGAGAGACAGAGAACAUUGUUUGUUAUACCAAGUAGGCAUUGCCCUGACCACCAAUUCUGCACAGUAUGGCAAGCAACAAAUCAGUUGAGGAAAUGAGGACAGAAAAUGUUGUGAGAUGCUUAUACCCAUGCCCUGGAGCAAUUUUUAAGCUGAUUUGCUUCCCAUGGGCAGGAAGCGGAUCUACCCAUUUUGCAAAAUGAGGCAAAAGUUUUCAUCAUUCAAUAGAAGUUUCCUCUAUAACGCUUCCUGGAAGAGGAAAUCGAUCUAAUGAGCCAUUUGCAACAAGCUUGGAUCAUGUAGCUGCUGAAA